RNAcentral lists this ribosomal RNA (497 nucleotides) under uncultured bacterium. RNAcentral describes it as "bacterial SSU rRNA". It matches the Rfam family "Bacterial small subunit ribosomal RNA", at positions 29 to 518 of the family's 1533-position model. The record is from RNAcentral.
AUGAACGCUAGCGACAGGCUUAACACAUGCAAGUCGAGGGGCAGCAUAAAAGUAGCAAUACUUGGUGGCGACCGGCGCACGGGUGAGUAACGCGUAUGCAACCUACCUAUCAGAGGGGAAUAACCCGGCGAAAGUCGGACUAAUACCGCAUAAAACAGGGACACCGCAUGGUGAUAUUUGUUAAAGAAAUUCGCUGAUAGAUGGGCAUGCGUUCCAUUAGGUAGUUGGUGAGGUAACGGCUCACCAAGCCGACGAUGGAUAGGGGAACUGAGAGGUUGGUCCCCCACACUGGUACUGAGACACGGACCAGACUCCUACGGGAGGCAGCAGUGAGGAAUAUUGGUCAAUGGGCGAGAGCCUGAACCAGCCAAGUCGCGUGAAAGGAAGAAGGAUCUAUGGUUCGUAAACUUCUUUUGCAGGGGAAUAAAGUGCAGGACGUGUCCUGUUUUGUAUGUACCCUGAGAAUAAGGAUCGGCUAACUCCGUGCCAGCAGCCGC